RNAcentral lists this ribosomal RNA (245 nucleotides) under Aeromonas salmonicida. RNAcentral describes it as "partial 16S ribosomal RNA". It matches the Rfam family "Bacterial small subunit ribosomal RNA", at positions 1230 to 1474 of the family's 1533-position model. The record is from RNAcentral. Lineage: Bacteria; Pseudomonadati; Pseudomonadota; Gammaproteobacteria; Aeromonadales; Aeromonadaceae.
AUGGCGCGUACAGAGGGCUGCAAGCUAGCGAUAGUGAGCGAAUCCCAAAAAGCGCGUCGUAGUCCGGAUCGGAGUCUGCAACUCGACUCCGUGAAGUCGGAAUCGCUAGUAAUCGCAAAUCAGAAUGUUGCGGUGAAUACGUUCCCGGGCCUUGUACACACCGCCCGUCACACCAUGGGAGUGGGUUGCACCAGAAGUAGAUAGCUUAACCUUCGGGAGGGCGUUUACCACGGUGUGAUUCAUGA